CAUAGGUUAAUGAGGCGAACCGGGGGAACUGAAACAUCUAAGUACCCCGAGGAAAAGAAAUCAACCGAGAUUCCCCCAGUAGCGGCGAGCGAACGGGGAGGAGCCCAGAGCCUGAAUCAGUGUGUGUGUUAGUGGAAGCGUCUGGAAAGGCGCGCGAUACAGGGUGACAGCCCCGUACACAAAAAUGCACAUAUUGUGAGCUCGAUGAGUAGGGCGGGACACGUGGUAUCCUGUCUGAAUAUGGGGGGACCAUCCUCCAAGGCUAAAUACUCCUGACUGACCGAUAGUGAACCAGUACCGUGAGGGAAAGGCGAAAAGAACCCCGGCGAGGGGAGUGAAAAAGAACCUGAAACCGUGUACGUACAAGCAGUGGGAGCCUCUUAAUGGGGUGACUGCGUACCUUUUGUAUAAUGGGUCAGCGACUUAUAUUCUGUAGCAAGGUUAACCGAAUAGGGGAGCCGAAGGGAAACCGAGUCUUAACUGGGCGUUAAGUUGCAGGGUAUAGACCCGAAACCCGGUGAUCUAGCCAUGGGCAGGUUGAAGGUUGGGUAACACUAACUGGAGGACCGAACCGACUAAUGUUGAAAAAUUAGCGGAUGACUUGUGGCUGGGGGUGAAAGGCCAAUCAAACCGGGAGAUAGCUGGUUCUCCCCGAAAGCUAUUUAGGUAGCGCCUCGUGAAUUCAUCUCCGGGGGUAGAGCACUGUUUCGGCAAGGGGGUCAUCCCGACUUACCAACCCGAUGCAAACUGCGAAUACCGGAGAAUGUUAUCACGGGAGACACACGGCGGGUGCUAACGUCCGUCGUGAAGAGGGAAACAACCCAGACCGCCAGCUAAGGUCCCAAAGUCAUGGUUAAGUGGGAAACGAUGUGGGAAGGCCCAGACAGCCAGGAUGUUGGCUUAGAAGCAGCCAUCAUUUAAAGAAAGCGUAAUAGCUCACUGGUCGAGUCGGCCUGCGCGGAAGAUGUAACGGGGCUAAACCAUGCACCGAAGCUGCGGCAGCGACACUAUGUGUUGUUGGGUAGGGGAGCGUUCUGUAAGCCUGUGAAGGUGUACUGUGAGGUAUGCUGGAGGUAUCAGAAGUGCGAAUGCUGACAUAAGUAACGAUAAAGCGGGUGAAAAGCCCGCUCGCCGGAAGACCAAGGGUUCCUGUCCAACGUUAAUCGGGGCAGGGUGAGUCGACCCCUAAGGCGAGGCCGAAAGGCGUAGUCGAUGGGAAACAGGUUAAUAUUCCUGUACUUGGUGUUACUGCGAAGGGGGGACGGAGAAGGCUAUGUUGGCCGGGCGACGGUUGUCCCGGUUUAAGCGUGUAGGCUGGUUUUCCAGGCAAAUCCGGAAAAUCAAGGCUGAGGCGUGAUGACGAGGCACUACGGUGCUGAAGCGACAAAUGCCCUGCUUCCAGGAAAAGCCUCUAAGCAUCAGGUAACAUCAAAUCGUACCCCAAACCGACACAGGUGGUCAGGUAGAGAAUACCAAGGCGCUUGAGAGAACUCGGGUGAAGGAACUAGGCAAAAUGGUGCCGUAACUUCGGGAGAAGGCACGCUGAUAUGUAGGUGAAGCGACUUGCUCGUGGAGCUGAAAUCAGUCGAAGAUACCAGCUGGCUGCAACUGUUUAUUAAAAACACAGCACUGUGCAAACACGAAAGUGGACGUAUACGGUGUGACGCCUGCCCGGUGCCGGAAGGUUAAUUGAUGGGGUUAGCGGUAACGCGAAGCUCUUGAUCGAAGCCCCGGUAAACGGCGGCCGUAACUAUAACGGUCCUAAGGUAGCGAAAUUCCUUGUCGGGUAAGUUCCGACCUGCACGAAUGGCGUAAUGAUGGCCAGGCUGUCUCCACCCGAGACUCAGUGAAAUUGAACUCGCUGUGAAGAUGCAGUGUACCCGCGGCAAGACGGAAAGACCCCGUGAACCUUUACUAUAGCUUGACACUGAACAUUGAGCCUUGAUGUGUAGGAUAGGUGGGAGGCUUUGAAGUGUGGACGCCAGUCUGCAUGGAGCCGACCUUGAAAUACCACCCUUUAAUGUUUGAUGUUCUAACGUGGGCCCCUUACCGGGGUUGCGGACAGUGUCUGGUGGGUAGUUUGACUGGGGCGGUCUCCUCCUAAAGAGUAACGGAGGAGCACGAAGGUUGGCUAAUCCUGG
RNAcentral lists this ribosomal RNA (2141 nucleotides) under Escherichia coli. RNAcentral describes it as "partial 23S ribosomal RNA". It matches the Rfam family "Bacterial large subunit ribosomal RNA", at positions 165 to 2330 of the family's 2925-position model. The record is from RNAcentral. Lineage: Bacteria; Pseudomonadati; Pseudomonadota; Gammaproteobacteria; Enterobacterales; Enterobacteriaceae.